UACGGAGGGGGCAAGCGUUAUUCGGAAUUAUUGGGCGUAAAGGGCGCGUAGGCGGCUAGAUGUGUCAAAGGUGAAAUCCCUCGGCUCAACUGAGGAACUGCCUUUGAAACUGUCUGGCUUGAGGCCGGGAGAGGGUAGCGGAAUUCCCAGUGUAGCGGUGAAAUGCGUAGAGAUGUGGAGGAACACCAGUGGCGAAGGCGGCUUCCUGGACCGACACUGACGCUGAGGCGCGAAAGCUAGGGGAGCAAACGGG
This 253-nucleotide ribosomal RNA is filed under the name uncultured bacterium. RNAcentral describes it as "partial 16S ribosomal RNA". It matches the Rfam family "Bacterial small subunit ribosomal RNA", at positions 524 to 776 of the family's 1533-position model. The record is from RNAcentral.